CGUGUAGAUAACAGUCACACGCCAAAUCGUUGUAGACGUUUGACUUGCUGUUCAAAAGCAAAAAUAAGUUCUUGAUAAGAGCAAGUCGGUCAACAGAAAAACCUGAACGCACACAAUUUAGACAAACAAACCACAAAAAAACGUUUGCAAAACUUUGUCACUUGAUUCGGAGACUAUUUGGCAUUUUUCCUAAACAAACUAAGCAGCUUUUAGGGCAGAUGCUAAUGACUGACGGAGUUGAUUCGGCUCUUCAAUUCCCAUCACAGCUGCUGCUAUACGAGUUAUACCAGCGAGAAAGUUCCCAAUGACGACAGUGACCCAGACCAGUGCUGUUCUCAGUUUAUCGCGACUAGUCACAGUUCCCAAUAACCAAUCACAGAUCACUGUUGCCUCCCAAUACAAUUACUAAAUAUCACUAUUUUUAUUAAACAACCACUAAUUACUAUAGUUUCCCAUUGACCAAUCACAGGUGACCGCUAUUUCCCUGCAAUGACCAAUUACUCAUCACAGUUCUCCACAGUUCUCGUCGUUGUUUCCAACAACAAAGUGCAGAUUACCAGUUUCCUAACAAUCGCUGACUGCCACUGUCUCUCGGUGACAACAACCAAUCACAGCUGGGUAAAUAUUUCAAUAACCAAUCACAGACAAUAGUUUCUGUUGACCAAUCACAGACCAGCACUUGUCCUAAUGACCAAUCACUGCUCCCAAUGAUGAAUCACAGAUCAGCGCUAUUUCCAAUGACUAAUCAAACAACAGUUUCCAAGGACCAAUCACAGACCAGCACUGUUCCAAAUGUCAAAUCACAGUUUCCAGCAAUCAAUUACAGAUCAGCACUGAUCACUUUUUUUUUUCCUGUCUCACUUUCCGAUUUUUUGAAGACAGAAAUAAGAGUAACCCUUUUUCCCUUCGCAGAUAUUCCCUGUUUUUAGUCUCUUGUUAAAAAAGUAUUUUGUAAACUAUAUUCUAUUCUACCCCAGAAAGAAAACAAAAUACUUUCCACCUUCAGUUAUUUACAUAUUAUGCAAAUUAUCCGGAUCAAUAGAUUAAUAUGCAAAUGAGCCCGAUGGCGUCAUCACGCAAACUUCUAGUUUUCCAGAAGACUUUAGCAACAAACUGAAGGCGUUCGGACAAAAAUAAAACGAGCACAAGUUCAUUUUAAAAAGAAAAAGAAAAGCUUUAAGAAAAGGUUUAUGCUUUAACAGUAAGAGGGUUUUGAGCUAUGAAGCAAGUGAUCAAAAUGAAGAUGUUGCAAGCAGGAAAAAUGGGCAAGCAUAAGGAUCUGUUUAACAAUUUGUGAAAAUAAUUUGUGAAAAACCACUGGGUCAGAGCAGCUCCAAAACCGCAGGAGGAGGCUCAGUGCUGUUGUUCUCUUCAGUGGCGGUUUCACCGUGCAUCAAUUGGUUGAUAGCAGGAGAUUUUCCACUCCAGUCCAUGUGAAGCAUAUCUUCAUGGAUAUGCAAUAUUGUGCCUACAAGUUUGUGGAAGAACCACAUAUGGCUGGAAAAGUCAGGCGUGCCAACACUUUUGCACCUUGAUUAAUCCAUAAACAGCGUCCAAACCGGGUAAAGCAAACCUCUAUUGCAUGUUUCCUACUUUAUAUUAAUCUUAUAGCUCCAAUGCAAAAUUGAGCACAACAUUUGAAUGAACAAAACUUGAGUCUUAUCCAUGUAAGAACAUUUUAUUAUAUCGUUAGGCUUUUUAAUUUAUUUAUUUAUUUUUUUCUUUCCCCAUAUCAUGCUAUCAUGGCCAUUACUUGUAUCUUCAUUGUAUUAGAAAUGAUCUUCACCCUGCCUAUCUGCCUAAGAAUGCUUUUUUUAAUAAAUGAUUUCUAAAGACAGAUAUAAUAUCAUCUAUUAUUUCUU
Molecule: long non-coding RNA, 1862 nt
Organism: Silurus meridionalis
Lineage: Eukaryota; Metazoa; Chordata; Actinopteri; Siluriformes; Siluridae
Exons: 4
Source: RefSeq, a predicted model, not a curated record